GUGUCACCUGGGGAGCCUUCAGGAAGGUCCCGGGAGCAGCUGAUGCAGGCCCUGUGAGGACGGUGUCGGCCUCCGAGGGCGGCCGAAGCGUACGGGCCGAGGAGCCGGGCGCCCUUAGGAGAAUGCCGUGACCGAGGGACCGCAUCCCGGUGACUGCGGGAAUUUCCCGGCGAGAGAGGCGACCUUCCUUGGCAGCGGACGUGGAUUCUCCUCCCAGGAUGUGCGAGAGAUAAGUCGAGGGCUGUGACACGCAGAGGGGAUGAAAGCGAGGUGCUGGGCGGGCCUUUUGAGUAGCUUCUUUGGCGGCAGGGGUGUGCGGGAGGUGGCCCCUUAGGCCCCAUCGAGGAGAAGUCUCCCAGCGCUGAGGUGCUCAGGGCAGAGCGGUCUCGGUGUGUGUCACUGGUGUCACUUGUCUGUCGUGCCUUCUGUGUCUUUUGGAUGUCUCGUGCCUUCAGUGUCUUUUGCCUUAUUCCUUUGAGGAGGCUUAUCAUUUGUCCUGUUCUGUGUCACGGGUGUCUGGGUAUGUGGGCCGAAGCCGCUCUGCCCUGCUGCAAAGCCUGGGGUAGGCAUAAUUGGACAAGUCCCUGGGGCCUGGAAAUUUGGAAUGCAGGGCGUAGGUGGGCUCUGGAUGGGAUUUAUAGAUCGAGGCAAGGUGCCUGGAGCUCUUAGGUUAUCCUGCAGCACUCUGACUUUUGUCCUAACCUUCUUUCAGAUGCAGCCGGAUGAAGUGUGUGGCAGAGCGGCCCGUGCCGGGUGAGUGGGUUUCCCCGAGCAGGUCAGUCUGCGUUUGUCUUUGCAGGGGAAGCGUAC
Molecule: long non-coding RNA, 810 nt
Organism: Pyrgilauda ruficollis (rufous-necked snowfinch)
Lineage: Eukaryota; Metazoa; Chordata; Aves; Passeriformes; Passeridae
Exons: 3
Source: RefSeq, a predicted model, not a curated record